Molecule: long non-coding RNA, 979 nt
Organism: Sorghum bicolor (sorghum)
Lineage: Eukaryota; Viridiplantae; Streptophyta; Magnoliopsida; Poales; Poaceae
Exons: 3
Source: RefSeq, a predicted model, not a curated record
AGCGGCAGCUACCGGACUGAACCACCAAACCAGGGGCGGCACCUCCCCCGAUCCCAUUUCGUUGAGCUGGCAGCUCGGCGGGGCCAUCCGAUUUGGCGUGCUCGCGCCUCCAGCCACGUCCUCGACGGGGCUAGGUUCGGCGGCGGCGGCGGCGAUAUCUGCGGGUCACCACCGAGCGGGUCAAGGAUGGAGGCCCGGUGAGCUGUUCCCUUCAAUCCGAUUUCUUCCGAUUGCCUCGAUGGCGGCUGUAUGGAGUCCUCUCGAAGCCAGGCCAGCUCGUGCCAUUCAAUCUUCCGAAUUUGAACAGUGUGCAAAUCAAUGAGGCAAGCCAGGACUAGCUUCCUGGUUAGUCUAACAAUGUAAGAACUGGGAAGCAAAGACGAGAUCCUGCCAAUUUGGAGACCAUGCAAUUUGUCGAGGAUCUCUGUACAACACUUCUAAAAACAGGUACAUCAACUCCAUGGAGGAUGUGAUCAGGAAGACUUAGGGGGUGUUUGAGACUGCUCCACAAACUCUGCUCCAUAAACUCCACUGUGGAACAGCUUCACAAAAAACUAGAGUUUGUGAAGUAGUGCUAUCACAACUACACCUUUUUUCCUCGAACUAAGUGCAUGGAGCUGAAACCGUUUGGCUAAAAAACGUAGAGCGGAGCUGAAAAACGUGGAGCAGAGCAAUCCCAAAUACCCCCUUACAUGCAGAUGGAGUUUGAUUUUUUUGACGACAACAUCAACUACUCAGAUUGUGUACCCAGCAGCAGCAAGCAGGAAGAUGCCACGGUCAAUAGGCAACAUGCCCGCUGUUGCAAUCAGACACUAGGUUUUUGGUCAAAUUUAAGAAGUUUUAACUCUUUAAAAUUUUUGAAAUGUCUUAUAAUUUAGAAUGGAGGGAGUAAUAGAGUGCUCGACGUCUUACACUUAGUUGUCACGAUGACUUUACUACCACGGCGCGCAGCUUGAAGUGAAGCUUCUGUUCAUCUCUU